Molecule: long non-coding RNA, 2685 nt
Organism: Lates calcarifer (barramundi perch)
Lineage: Eukaryota; Metazoa; Chordata; Actinopteri; Centropomidae
Exons: 2
Source: RefSeq, a predicted model, not a curated record
CCUAAAACAUAUGAUAUUUCACUUUUAUUGGCUCUUAAUUCAGCAGGUUGUCCCUGCAGACUGUAGCAGUGCCUUGAAGACUUUCUGUUGGACAGGAGGAAGGAAUCUCUGGCACAGCCUCAUGGAAGCUGAAGGUAUCAUCUUUUCCCUUUACAGAAUGUUCCGUCUGGUCAGAGCUACAGGCGCUGUGGCAGCGGGGAUGGUUUCAUAUUUCAUUGCAAGACUGGUGCAGUGAAUUAUUCCUCUGUUCACACAUGGAGACCGGGGGAGCUGAUGAGUCGCAGCGUGGAAGGGGAAGGAGAUACGGAGGAGACGGGGAGCUGCUCCGGCUGCUGAUGCUUGAUCCUUUGACUGUUCUGAGAAGCGAUGACGUAACUGAAGGUCGCGGAGCCUCGUGCAACCAAUGCCAAGACACCGCAUUCCUUCCGCUUGGUUUACCUGCUCAGGUAAUAUUGUGUGACUGCUGCUGUAUCCAUGGCAAUGAACACCUGCAGAUACCCUCGACCCGGGCUCCUCCGACAGGGCUGAUUAGCAUGCAUGGAUGAGGCCCGAGCUCUUCCCUGAUUGGUCCUGUCAGCUCCUGGCAUGGGCUCUGACUUACCCCUGCAGAAGACCCAGCUGGCUGUAUGCCCCCCUCCCAUCAUGCUCACGCCUGCUGUAUUCCACAUGACUGGACUUGUCCUCUAGGACACGGAACCCAUGCUCCUGUACAGUGAAUGUCGGAGCAAGAAUGUCUCACUGAAUCACAUGCAGCGAUUGCAGUCUUUCUAUGUAUUUGCCCCAAAUGUUAAUAUAAAAAUAAGCAUUAGCAGCAGCAGGAUCUCUGAAUCUGCAACCCAGGAGAGGUUUGUCAGGAGAUUUGGCAUUGCUAUGAAAAAUGGACAUAUUCUUGUGUCAUCACAUUUCCUCUGGUCUCUCAGGGUGAGCUCUUUUCAUUAUUUCCCCUACGUUGCCUUAAGUCACACCUUUUGAGGGGGCGAUUCACAAACAGGUCAGCUAAAAAGAAUAUUUGAUGAACAAGCUCCCGUCAGCCAUCACUUUUGCCCUCUGGUUUGAUUCUGUGCUGCCUCUGUCCCAGCCCUCCAGCCCAGAUAAAAAGGAACCUCUUCUAAGGUGUUUUCGCGAGCCAUUAUAAAACGGUUGCCAUGGAUACCCACUCUGAACAGGCUCCACAUACAGGCAGCAGAGUAGGAAAUGACAGAUGCAAUAUUUCACAUUUCAAAAAUUCCUUUUUCUCUCAUCAGCAUACAAAAGCUGACGGACCAUUGUGUUAAAAAUGCCAAAGAUCAGGACCCCACAAAUAGGUCUGUAAGGCUAUUUGUUAUGGUCAGUCGCUAUUUAAUUCUUGUUCCACAGAGGUGGGUUGAAUGGUAUUUUCCGCCUCAUUUGGUCUUUGUUGUUUCUCCCUGAAGAGAUGACCUAUAUUAUCUAGGAUGGGAGAUCAAAGAAGGCGUUCUCACUGUGAUCCCAUGAAGCCUGCAUCUUACAAGCCCCGAGAAUCAGCCCUGAUUGCGCAACUGCCUCGCUGCACUGCAAAAUGUGGCCAUGAAGCUAAAGAGUGGAAAAACAGCUUCUUUGUAGCUGCUCAGCCUACAGGAUUCAUGAUCCUGCAGUUUAGGAGGAGCAGAGCUUUUGAUGUCGAGGAUUGUAAUUACUGUCUUUUCUUGAGAUAAUGCACACGCUGCUCAGUGCUGUUUAUUAUCCACUUCAUAAGCAUAUUAAGAGAAAGUGGCGGAAAAAGAAAAGAACUAGUUUGUACAUUAUGUUGAAGCAAACUUUGGUACAACUCACUUCAAACUUAAAAGAGUCUGAGUUCCCUAACUAGGGCUAUCCUCCGUUACAUAUUACCUCCAUAUUUUAUCCAUGAAUUCCCAUUAGUGUUACCAGCUGAUGAUAUGUGAGCUAAUGCUGGCCUCUAUUCGUGUUCGGGUCCUUGGUUGCCUAUUCAUCAGCCACUUAUACUGGGGAAAUGAAACAAGGUCACCAGUGGGAACCGGCUACCUGCUGGGAACAAGUGUUCACCUGCUGCUCUCCACUCCCACCCUCCUCCUCCACCCACCCACACCCUCCUGAUCCCUAUUCCCGUGUAACCCAACUACUGGUCCCCUUGCCUGAUACAACUGGGCGUCUCGUUCCAUUUCCAGAGCUCCACACAAUGUCAGAGACACAUGGCUGCCGAACAUAGCAAUGGAUGCGCCAGAAAUGCCCAUAUGUCUCCAUGACCUGUAUCAGUCGCUACACUGUCACGCAUCUCAUUAGCCACGACCAGAAACGGUGCAAAUGGACCCUAAUGGUCAUUCAUCAAAAUAAGGCCUUCUCCCUACAGUGCCUAGCAGACAAUGGUGCAGGUGAUGGUUAGUGUGGGAAGCUCUGGUGUGAUUUAUGACGACGUUCUCCUUUCUACUGUUUGAGUUUCCAUUGUGCAAGAUAACGAACAUGUUGUAGCUUCAGUCUAAAACUGAAGGUCACAGACUGAUUGAUGUGUUUGAGUUUAAUUACUAUCAAUUAUAGUUUGGUUUGGUGAAGAAGAACACUUUGGGUUUUAAAAGCUAGUAUGUCUUCUUGCCCCUGUUUGGUACGCUGACUGAAGGAUGCAGGGGCUUGAAAGUUUGAUCUUUUUGGUAGAGUUUUAAUGGAUAAUCAGGUUCCAAAAUGUAUCAGGUGUAAAUAAAGAGUGGUAUUAUA